AAUCUAGUUCCUUCGAUACCAAUGUAUUCUAUAAAAUUCAUAUACCAAUGUAUUCAAAAAAUUCAUAUUACUAGAAUACAUUGGUAUCGAAGGAACUAGAUU
Non-coding RNA from Paramuricea clavata, 102 nucleotides. Lineage: Eukaryota; Metazoa; Cnidaria; Anthozoa; Malacalcyonacea; Plexauridae. The record is from the annotation of a GenBank genome assembly.